AUAUCAAUAAGCGGAGGAAAAGAAACUAACAAGGAUUCCCCUAGUAACGGCGAGUGAACCGGGAAGAGCUCAAAUUUGAAAUCUGGCAGUCUUCGAUUGUCCGAGUUGUAAUCUAUAGAAGCGUUUUCCGUGCUGAACUGUGUAUAAGUCCCUUGGAACAGGGUAUCAAAGAGGGUGACAAUCCCGUACUUUACACAAUCAUCAGUGCUCUGUGAUACGUUCUCUACGAGUCGAGUUGUUUGGGAAUGCAGCUCAAAAUGGGUGGUAAAUUCCAUCUAAAGCUAAAUAUUGGCGAGAGACCGAUAGCGAACAAGUACCGUGAGGGAAAGAUGAAAAGCACUUUGGAAAGAGAGUUAAACAGUACGUGAAAUUGUUGAAAGGGAAACGAAAUUCAUGAAUCAUGUUUAUUGGACUCAGCCGUUCUUCGGUGUACUUCCUUUAAACGGGUCAACAUCAGUUUUGUCCGAUGGAUAAAGGUAGUAGGAAGGUGGCUCUCUCGGGAGUGUUAUAGCCUAUUGCUGCAUACAUUGGAUGAGACUGAGGACUGCAGCUUGCCUUUAUGGCCGGGGUUCGCCCACGUUCAAGCUUAGGAUGUUGACAUAUUC
RNAcentral lists this ribosomal RNA (605 nucleotides) under Apiotrichum porosum. Its description in RNAcentral is "eukaryotic LSU rRNA". It matches the Rfam family "Eukaryotic large subunit ribosomal RNA", at positions 40 to 636 of the family's 3401-position model. Lineage: Eukaryota; Fungi; Basidiomycota; Tremellomycetes; Trichosporonales; Trichosporonaceae. The record is from RNAcentral.